Molecule: ribosomal RNA, 433 nt
Filed under: uncultured bacterium
Lineage: Bacteria
Description: bacterial SSU rRNA
Rfam family: Bacterial small subunit ribosomal RNA
Source: RNAcentral
UGAUCCUGGCUCAGAACGAACGUUAGCGGCGCGCCUAACACAUGCAAGUCGAGCGAGAAAGGGGCAACCCCGGUAAAGCGGCGCACGGGUGAGUAACACGUAGGUAAUCUACCCCUCGGGUGGAGGAUAACUUUCCGAAAGGAAGGCUAAUACUGCAUGAGACCACGAUUCCGGAAGGGAUUGAGGUCAAAGCCGGCCACUGUACACAAGCUGGCGCCUGAGGAUGAGCCUGCGGCCCAUCAGCUAGUUGGUAGGGUAAUGGCCUACCAAGGCGAAGACGGGUAGCUGGUCUGAGAGGAUGAUCAGCCACACUGGAACUGAGACACGGUCCAGACUCCUACGGGAGGCAGCAGUGGGGAAUCUUGCGCAAUGGGCGAAAGCCUGACGCAGCGACGCCGCGUGAGUGAUGAAGGCCUCGGUUGUAAGUACGUCU